RNAcentral lists this long non-coding RNA (956 nucleotides) under Medicago truncatula (barrel medic). RNAcentral describes it as "long non-coding RNA (MTRU_LNC006591)". The record is from RNAcentral. Lineage: Eukaryota; Viridiplantae; Streptophyta; Magnoliopsida; Fabales; Fabaceae.
GCUUUCUCAAUGAAGAGCAACGUAGGUAUAAAUCAAAAAGGAAAUGAAAUAUUUCAGCUGUUAGCAGGUUAUAUAAAAAAAUACAUGAAAACGAAGUUUGUAAAUACGAAAAGCAAACAAAGUUUCUAGUGUUGAACCGCCACUGAUGUAAACAGCAAAAAGCAAAAAGAAUACCAUCAACACAAAUUUGAGUAUAAAAGUAUUAAGAUUUUUUUUUAACAAAAUAAAAGUAUCAGAAUUAGUAACAUCUUACAUGUUGUUUCAAUUUUCAACCAUCAGGUAUAAAAAGUAGAUAAUAAAAGAUGUCAUAACUACAUCCAUCAAAUUUGUGCUACCAACACUGCUUUCUCGGUUCUAGGUUACUCUCAGCAAUUGUAGAAGUAAACUCAGCAAGAGAGAAAUGGAAACAGUUUAGGAACUUCAAACAAUUUUGAGCAAAGAAACAUAAUGAAUCCUAGUAGUAUAAGAGACAAUGAGCAUAGCUAUGAAACGAUAAAUGCUACUAUGAAAACAAUUGAGAAACGAAAGUUAAUAUCAUGGUAAAGUUAAGACAAUAAUGAACCAACCUUUUAAGCUAAACGAAGCAGGUGCAGCCAUUCGAUUGUAGCUGCUUUCCAUGAUAAAAUUUUGCAAGUGCUACAGGCUCCAAGUGAGUAAAAGUUUUCACAUACUUCCAUAGUGCCAUUUGUAAAGUUGCAUUUAGUAGGAUGUUUUAAGACAUAUUUUGGAUCACAAUUAGUAGCAUUUCAUGAAUCAGAAAUUGCUUGAAAAUAUUCAUAAUCAAAGGAUGUUUUAAACAAAAUGAAACAGAUGUGCAAAUUCCAUCUAAUUACUUAAAAAUUCCAAUGGAAUAUUGUCCUCAUUGUCAUAUUCAGAAAUUGGAGAAGAAACAACACAAAGUUAAUUUUAAAUUCCAAUCAUAAUGAGAGUUAUUACCUUUUCCAUGCAUUGAUUUA